GUGACCUUUGGCCACAACUGCAAUCAGUAAAAUUAUUUGAGGUGUUUGUAUUACCUCUGCUUGAUACUUGUGCUGCCUCUGGAUGGGCAGCAAAACAUCCGAUGUGAACUUGGGAAGAAACUAAAAGGUGCUCGGGAGUAAAAGAAGACUGAAGAAUAUCUUCAAAGUACAUGGUGACCAGAGAUGCCGCUCUAUCACCAGAAAGAGCCAUCUUCUGUGCACUUGUAUUUUCCAUGUAUGAUGAAGCAUCUGCUGCCUGCUUUCUUCAUUAUCAUCAUAAAGAGGGAGAGUUUAAAAGCUAGAAGGAUGGUGAAAGAGUGUAGCAUGAACUUGAAAGGUAGAAGCCUUGCUGGCUUGCAGCCUCCACACACUGCUCCUCGGCUCUGGUCCCUGGUUCCAGAUCAAAAGGUGUCUGCCUGCCAGCUGACUGCACACCUCUUCUUCUGA
This 447-nucleotide long non-coding RNA is filed under the name Parus major (Great Tit). Its description in RNAcentral is "lncRNA (ENSPMJG00000015880.1)". Lineage: Eukaryota; Metazoa; Chordata; Aves; Passeriformes; Paridae. The record is from RNAcentral.